This 376-nucleotide ribosomal RNA is filed under the name uncultured eukaryote. RNAcentral describes it as "partial 18S ribosomal RNA". It matches the Rfam family "Eukaryotic small subunit ribosomal RNA", at positions 592 to 976 of the family's 1831-position model. The record is from RNAcentral.
CAAGAGCGUAUAUUACAGUUGCUGCGGUUAAAAAGCUCGUAGUUGGAUUUCAGUCUAGGAAGGUUAACUCGCCGAAAGGUUGUACGUUGAUUUUCCUCAGACUUCGUCAGAAGCUCGUGCUGCACUUAACUGUGUGGUACGAUGUUCUGACCUUUUACCUUGAGGAAAGUAGAGUGUUUCAGGCAGGCUACCCAGCUUGAAUACAUUAGCAUGGAAUAAUGAAAUGGAUCUCGGUUCGAUUUCGUUGGUUCUAGAGCUGAGGUGAUGAUCAAUAGGAACAGGCGAAGGUAUUCGUACUUGAGAGUGAGGAGUGAAAUCCGAUGAUCUCUUAAAGACGAUCCGAGGCGAAAGCAUUUGUCAAGGAUGUUUUCAUUGA